Molecule: non-coding RNA, 685 nt
Organism: Maylandia zebra (zebra mbuna)
Lineage: Eukaryota; Metazoa; Chordata; Actinopteri; Cichliformes; Cichlidae
Source: RefSeq, a predicted model, not a curated record
GUACCUGCCUGCUGAAGAUAACACAGCCUUGAAACUCUUUUUCUCUCUUUCUCUCUAUUACCACAACAAUUUAAGGUGGCAGCACUGACUGAACGAUAGAAGGAUGAGUUGGAGACUGUGGUUUGGAGACGAAGUUAAGGAGGCACACUUGGCUGACUUGGUUCAGACGUGUGCAGAGGAGGGAGAGUGACUAUAUUGGACAAAGGAUGUCCAAUAUAGUAUAUGGAGGGAGAAAGGACAACAGAGGAGGGUGAAGAAGUCACUUGGAUGAGUGAUGAAAAUGUUCCUACGACCAAAAGUGAACAGAGUUUUGUGGGAUUGAGCUGGAUGAUUGAGCAUGGAUCAACACACAUCAAAGAAUCUCAUGGAUGUCAUGAAGGAGGACAUGUGGAGAAGGGUGCGGAUGAUCUGCAGUAGGGGCCACUGAAGGGAGCAGUUAAAAAAAGAAGUAGUACUGAAACUGGGUUACUAGUACCCAGCUGUUAAUGUGGUGUUGUUGUGGUGUGAAAAAGAAAAAAGUGUUUUUUUCCUCUGAGCUAUGAAGUUUUGACAAUUUAAGUAUCACAAAGUGCAUGAGGAUUCACUCAGAUAUUACUUACUGUGUCGUUGUAAAAAAUACACCGAUGAACAUGUAUUCAAAACCAAUCUAUAUAAACUAUUAAAGUAAUUACUUGUGGGGAACAAA